RNAcentral lists this ribosomal RNA (253 nucleotides) under uncultured bacterium. Its description in RNAcentral is "partial 16S ribosomal RNA". It matches the Rfam family "Bacterial small subunit ribosomal RNA", at positions 524 to 776 of the family's 1533-position model. The record is from RNAcentral.
UACGGGGGGGGCAAGCGUUGUUCGGAAUUACUGGGCGUAAAGGGCUCGUAGGUGGCCAACUAAGUCAUACGUGAAAUCCCUCGGCUUAACCGGGGAACUGCGUCUGAUACUGGUUGGCUUGAGUUUGGGAGAGGGAUGCGGAAUUCCAGGUGUAGCGGUGAAAUGCGUAGAUAUCUGGAGGAACACCGGUGGCGAAGGCGGCAUCCUGGACCAAUACUGGCACUGAGGAGCGAAAGCCAGGGGAGCAAACGGG